AUGGGAACGCGAAGAACCUUACCUACUCUUGACAUCCAGAGAACUUAGCAGAGAUGCUUUGGUGCCUUCGGGAACUCUGAGACAGGUGCUGCAUGGCUGUCGUCAGCUCGUGUUGUGAAAUGUUGGGUUAAGUCCCGCAACGAGCGCAACCCUUAUCCUUUGUUGCCAGCGGUUAGGCCGGGAACGUCAAAGGAGACUGCCAGUGAUAAACUGGAGGAAGGUGGGGAUGGACGUCAAGUCAUCAUGGCCCUUACGAGUAGGGCUACACACGUGCUACAAUGGCGCAUACAAAGAGAAGCGACCUCGCGAGAGCAAGCGGACCUCAUAAAGUGCGUCGUAGUCCGGAUUGGAGUCUGCAACUCGACUCCAUGAAGUCGGAAUC
RNAcentral lists this ribosomal RNA (382 nucleotides) under uncultured bacterium. RNAcentral's name for it is "bacterial SSU rRNA". It matches the Rfam family "Bacterial small subunit ribosomal RNA", at positions 954 to 1333 of the family's 1533-position model. The record is from RNAcentral.